Molecule: ribosomal RNA, 253 nt
Filed under: uncultured bacterium
Lineage: Bacteria
Description: partial 16S ribosomal RNA
Rfam family: Bacterial small subunit ribosomal RNA
Source: RNAcentral
UACAGGGGGGGCAAGCGUUGUUCGGAAUUACUGGGCGUAAAGGGCCAGUAGGCGGCCAACUAAGUCCGACGUGAAAUCCCCAAGCUUAACUUGGGAACUGCGUCGGAUACUGGAUGGCUUGAAUUCGGGAGAGGGAUGCAGAAUUCCAGGUGUAGCGGUGAAAUGCGUAGAUAUCAGGAGGAACACCCAUGGCGAAGGCAGCAAACUGGGCAUCAACUGACGCUGAGGCGCGAAAGCGUGGGUAGCAAACAGG